UGUUUGUAGAGUGUGUGUAUAUAAUGCAGUGUGUUUGUGUAGUGUGUUUAUAUAAUGCACACUACACAAACACACUGCAUUAUAUACACACACUAUACACAC
This 102-nucleotide microRNA precursor is filed under the name Pelobates cultripes (western spadefoot toad). The record is from RNAcentral. Lineage: Eukaryota; Metazoa; Chordata; Amphibia; Anura; Pelobatidae.